UAAGAAAGGCCUUCCCUAGAAAUCCCAGUUUUUUAACACACAGCCUUUUCAAAGAGAAUGCAUACAUUCUAUUAUGUUAUUCUUUAUCCUGCAGUUACUGGUAAAGAUUUAUUACCUCAUGUGAAGUUGAAUUAUCCUUAUGCCUGGAAAUAGAUACAUCCACUAGAGAGAAACAGACGCUAAAUAAAUGGCUUAAUCCAUUGCAGAAGAAAAACCUUAUGCUGAUCUGUUUAUGUUAAAGAUGUCAUAACCCCUUGGGUGUUGCUCACUAACCGCUCGUUCACGACUUCUCCCCCUUGAGACCACAGUACAGACAUCAAAGACACAGCUGGAUAAACCGUAUAGAUUGGAUCCUACGCAAAAAUUAUCAUAAACACUAAGAAGCCACAAAGAAUGUGGAAGGAAUGAUCAUUUCGAUCCAACAAGUUAUUAAAAUUCUUUCAGUCCAUCUGCUUAUUGAGUACCAACUACCACCUCCAGCGAAGGACCUAUGCUACCCCCCAAUUCAGCAUGAAAAAGACAGCAGUGGAAAUGUUUCAAGUUUGCCCAGCCUCACAGCUAAACGUGG
This 568-nucleotide long non-coding RNA is filed under the name Numida meleagris (helmeted guineafowl). Its description in RNAcentral is "lncRNA (ENSNMEG00000016279.1)". Lineage: Eukaryota; Metazoa; Chordata; Aves; Galliformes; Numididae. The record is from RNAcentral.